AAACGGCGCAGCUGGGACUCUGUGCUGUGGCAGCCUAAGCGAACCUCUUCACGGGCUAAUGACAAUUGCAGGCAUUGUUGGGCUGUGUCCUAAGGUGAAUCAACAUAAAGAAAAGCCCUGGCUGCUCGUGCACUGAUAACUUCAUCUUUUCGGACAUCUGGGAACUACCGCCACAAUGUCUGGAAAAAAAAUGACUUCAAACUAAUGCAGCAGAGGCAAACCAUGGUUUGGCCAAAAAUGGAACAGAAUUUACAAGGGAAAAGGGAAGUUCCUGGAGUAAUAUGGUCAGAUGAGGAUGGAACUGGUGAAUGAGCAGAAGAGAAGGUUGGAAGAGUGCAGUGGUGAUGACAGCCCUCCGCUGCUCCUUCCCCAGAGGAAGGAGCUCCAAGUUUAUUCACCCCUCUUUUACCAUGAGGCAGAGGGAAAACAAUGACAAAUACACAGUAAACUUCGUUAUCAACAAACAGAAGUUGUUACCAAGGCAACAGAACAAGAGCAUCCCUGCAUCCAGCCAUCACAGUGUGAAGUGAGUUUCAGAUGAGGAGAUGCCUUGAGGGGCAAGGAGACCCUUCAGGAAAAAGCUGACCUGAUAAAGGAAUCAAGGAGCUGCCAUCCCAACUGAUGUCUUUUUUCCCUUUCUCAAUAAAGAGAAGAGCUUGCAAGAGCCCUGAAAGACA
Molecule: long non-coding RNA, 677 nt
Organism: Homo sapiens (human)
Lineage: Eukaryota; Metazoa; Chordata; Mammalia; Primates; Hominidae
Product: long independently transcribed non-coding RNA 1645
Exons: 4
Source: RefSeq, marked validated